This 318-nucleotide ribosomal RNA is filed under the name uncultured eukaryote. RNAcentral describes it as "partial large subunit ribosomal RNA". It matches the Rfam family "Eukaryotic large subunit ribosomal RNA", at positions 40 to 350 of the family's 3401-position model. The record is from RNAcentral.
AUAUAAUUAAGCGGAGGAAAAGAAACUAACUAGGAUUCCCUUAGUACCGGCGAGGGAAGAGGGAUCAGCCCAGGCCGAAUCUGUAACGGUCCUCCGUUACCGAGCUGUAGCCUUCUGAUCAGCAUCACAGGGUCAGUGGUAGGUGUAAGUCCCUUGGAACAGGGCGCCAUAGAGGGUGAUAGCCCCGUACCACCUAUCAACGUGAUCCACCACGUGUUGCUGCUUCCUAGAGUCGCGUUGUUUGAGAGUACAACGCAAAAUGGGUGGUAAGUACCAUCUAAGGCUAAAUACUGAUCUGAGACCGAUAGCGCACAAGUA